Heterocephalus glaber (naked mole-rat) is the source of this 6177-nucleotide long non-coding RNA. The record is from Ensembl. NCBI's taxonomy places the organism in Eukaryota, Metazoa, Chordata, Mammalia, Rodentia, Bathyergidae.
GAAAGACACUGUUAAAUUUCUCUUGUUGCUUUGCUGCUGUCUGACCACUAUGAACUGUUGCCCCUCUGCCACCCCACCUUGGAGCCAGCCAAUUAUAGACUGAAGCCGCUAGGAACUAUAAGCUAAGUAAACCUUUCCCUCUUUAACUUUGGGUAUCAGGUAUUUUGUCUCAGCAGCAAGAGAAAACUAAGUAAAACAUCCAUAGAAUUUAUUCAGAUUUCACUGAUUAUAAAUGCACUCAUAUGCAUUUUUUAUGUGUUUGUAGCUUUACGUGCUUUUAUCACAGGUAGCAUUACAUUGCCUUCUCUGUAGUCAAGAUACUCAUCUGAGGCAUGCAUGUGACCUAUUCCUGUGGUUCUAGCUACUCAGGAAACUAAGAGGAUCACUUGAGGCCAGCAAUAUAGUGAGACCAUUUCAAGAAAAAAGACACUCAAAUGUAACAUAAGAUCCCCUUAUUUUACAAACCUUUGUAGCUAUCCCAUACCUUUCCCCAUACCUGAGCCAUCUAAUAUCUUACAUCUUACAUUUUUUUCAUGAAUAUGUCAGAAUCAAGGUUUAUGUAUUCUGUUGACAUUAUUUUGUUGUUGUUGUUAUGGGUUUUUUGUUUGCUUGUUUGGUUAUUUUUUGUUUUUUUGAGACAAGGUCUCACUAUGCAGUUCAGGCUGCCCUUGAAUUCACUGUGUAGCCCAGGCUGACCUCAAAGUCAAAGUGAUCCUCCUGCCUUAGCCUUCCAAUUGGGAUCACAGGCAUGUACCACCUCCCUUAGCUUCACAUUGGCUUUUUUAGUUAGUUGAAUACUAUUCCAUAGUACAGAUUUACUGUGAUCUGACCAUUUACCACUGAGACAUUUGAGCAUUUUCUACUUUGGGGAUAUUAUGAAUAAAGUUAAUAGAGACAAAAAAAGAAUGAAAAGCAUCAUAUCACAGCAAUAUAUGUGCACCCAUGUUAAUAAUGGCACAAUUAUGCACACUUGGGAUGGAAUCUGGGCAUGCCUCUGGCUGGGCCUGCCCCCCUUACAUAGCUAUUGUCUGGGAGGGCCUUUGGCUGGGGGCUGUGCAACAGAAUUGCUGUUGCCUGAGCAGGCUUCCGGCUGUGGUCUGCACGGACUUACCAGUGGUAUAUGUGUAGGCCUCUGGCAACAGCUUGUGCACUUGUGCAGCUCUUUUCCAGGCUGGCCUUUGGCUGGGCUUGUUGGUCCAAGCUGUGGAGGUCAGGGCAGGACCCUAGCUGGGAUCUGUGUGCAACCAUGCCACUCUGGUCCAUGUGGGCUUCUUGCUGUUAUCUGGGGAAAAACUUUUUGAAAUAACUGUAGUGACAACAUGGUUGAUGCUUACAGAUUAGCUGACUAACAUGGACAUCCAACUUGAUAUUUGGGCAAAUUCCUUUGAAGUUACACUCAAUAAAAUCUGUCUUCUACACAACUUGCUUCUCUCCUGCAUCAUUCAGCCCACCUGAAAUUCCUUUCCUCUCUACCUCUGCAAAUGUUUCAAUGUCAGUUUCAAUCUACAGAACAUCCAGGAUGUCUGCAUUGGUUAAGCCAUUCUUUUCCAUGUUUCCAUAGUCUGUGUGCAGCAAUGGUGUCCAUCUUCAUGUUAUGCCAUUAUAUUUUGUGUUUUGCAAUUGUUUGAAAAUUAUUUCCACUUUGUAUCCCUGUGUAUUUUGUUUCUCCUCAGCUAGAUGGAUUUUUCCUAGAGAAAACAGUGUUCUGAUUACUUUUCCAUUUAAUUUUAUGGAUUCUUAGGGAAGAUUUGAGCACAUAAUAAAUAUUUAAGUGCUUUCUAAGCAAUACAGGCCUGACCAUUUAAAUGUUCUGGUAAAUACAGAACUAGUUAAUGAACCAUGAAAUGUUCAACCUGUCAAAUAACUAAGUUCCAUUUUGAUCAGAAAACAAUUAGUAUAUAGACCAGUGUACUAUAUUAUUUACAUCCAGUGAUUCUUCGUGUUCUUUUAUUGUCCCAUAAUAUAACUUUUAUAUAAGAAAUAUUUUAACUAUUGUGACUCCCAAGAGAUGGGAAAUUAUUCCAGACCUAAAAGAAAAAACAACAAUUUAUUAAAUGAGAAACACAUAGUAAAGAUGUAUAUCAUGUAGAGAAAAUCUUUCAGAGAUAUUCUGUUAAGCUCUACCCCCUCCAGAAAUGUCCUGUAACUCUGCCCCCUUACUUUGGGAAUAUUCUGUAACUCCACCCCCCUGCUUCAUUGACAAUGCUCGCCUACCCUGUAUAUCCCUAUAUAAGGAGGCUUUCAUUUCUAGCAGAGUGCUCAGACUCCUCUGAGCCCAUCAGGGCUCUCUGGAAUAAUAAAGUUUUUUCUUGACCUCUUCAACUGACUAUUGAAUACUCAAGUCUUCAAAGAAUGAGAGCUGCAACCUAAAGCCACCACACUGAGCUGUAAAGCUCAGGUGUGCCUUCCAAGCUGUGGCACUUGGCUGCAACACUGAGCUAUAACACUUAGCCAUGCCUCUGAGCUGUGGCACUCAGCUGUAACACUGGGCUAUAUCACAGAACUGCUCUACUCUUCUUCAACACUAUUACAAUCAUUCAUUUUCCUGAGUGUAAGAUAAAGGGCUUAGAUGUCAUUCCCAGAUAAUUAAUCCAUGAUGUUACAGGCAGGAUUGUGAGGUACAAAUGUUCACUACACCACUUGGUCCCUAUUGAGUUGGAGGAUUGGCAGGAAGACCAGAAGUAUUUCCCCAAGAAGAAAGCAUCUUGGCCUUAUUGGCACAUAUGUGCACUGCAGACUCUGAUGUUUUCCUUGAAUUUUUGUCAGGGUAGGGUUAUAAUCAUGAUUACAUAUAAUAAUGGAGCAGUUCACAUUGCUGGGUGCACAGCUCAGGACAAAGGUGGAGUUAGAGUGUGAGCCUACAAAAUUAAACACCAUUUUUAAAUACCAUUAAAGUACACAUAUACAACUGCUUUUUUAAAACAGGAAAAGGAACUUUAGGAAUUUUAAGAUUGUUUUAAAUACAGAUUUCCUACAUAGCAAAACUAUUCAGCAGCCUUCAAUCACUUUGACAUUGAAUGUGAGUUAGCCAUUAUAACUUAAUUAAUAGAGUUUAAUAUAUGGAGCUCAUAUCUACAGCAUCAGUACAUAAUUAAAGACAUACUUUUAAUAUCUGCUGUAUGAUAUUUGGAAGAUUUUGUUUUUAGUGGUAAAUGUUGGUAGUGCAUAAUUAUUACAUUCAACAUGGGGAGAUGGUACAUGUACAUGACACAUUUAAUUCUUUUUUUUAAUCUUUUUACCCCCUUCUUUCUUUCCCCUCCCUCCAGCUUUGGAUCCUUUUUCUUACAUAUUUUUUGCACAUGUUUGUAAUGAUCACAUCACUUUGUGCAUGUACAAAACCCAUUUUACUGGCAUUACCAUUUUAUUGUAGGAACUAAUUUCUUCCUUUUUGUUUUUCUGUGAUCUGUUGAUUACUUGAGAGGGUAUUGCCCAAUUUUCAAGUGUUUGCAUGGUUUCUGUGUUAUCUUUUGCCAUUGAUUUCUAGUUUCACUGCAGUAAGAUCUGAUAAUAUGCAUGGAAUAAUUUUGAUCAUUUUACAUUUGCAAAUUAGCAUGUGGUCUAUUUGAAAGAAAGUCCCAGUGAUGCUGAGAAGAAUCUGUAUUCUGUUGUUAUUGGGAAGAACAUAGUACAUAUCUAUUAAGUCCAUUUGUUUGAGAUUUUGGUUCAACUCGAUAUUCUUUGUUCUUCUUUUUGUUUAGUUGAUCUGCCUAUUCUGACAGUCGAGUAUUGAGAUCCCCCAUUAUAAUUGUGUUGAUAUUUAUCUGAUUUUUAUGUUCCUAGUGUUUAUUUCAUGAAAGUCUGUGUGUGUGUGCAUAUGCGCUGUUUUUUGGUGUAUAUAUUUAUAAUUGUUAUAUCUUCUUUUGAAUUAUUCCAUUCAUCUAAUGUGUAGUGACCUUCUUUGUCUCUUCUGAUCAAUUUUGGCUUGAAAUCCACUUUGUUUGAAAUUUGUAUAGCUGCUCUUGCUUUUUUCCAGGUUCCUAUUGCAUGGAAUAUUGUUUUCCAUCCCAUGAUUUUUAAUGAUGCUUCUUGCUAAUUCAAUCUGUUUCUCUUUGAUAUGUAAGUGACCUAUCAUUGACAUGUACUGCAUGCUUUCUUCUGUGUGGAUUUUGUCCCAAUGAUAAAGAUAAAAAUAAAAUUUUCUUUACUUUUAUCAUUUUUCAGAGUGCACACAGGAAGUUGUGGUUUAAUUAGACUGCACUGGUAACAAAAUAUUGCUAAUUUUUUUAAAAAGUGCUUCCAGUUUUUAGCUGUGAUUGAAAAUAAUACAACUAACUUUAAUGAUUUAAUGCAAUUACACUCUCUCCCAAUUCACCAGUGAGACUUUGAUAUACAUGUGAUCAAUUAACCUGGUGCACUUUAAUCUGUCUUCUAGGUGGACUUUCUCCUAAUAACAAAAGAGAAAAUAAAAUGUUAUUUGAUCUUGUUAUCUUUUUUUCUGGUACCCUUUCUGGAGAUUGUGGUUUAAUUUUACUGAGUCAGCGACCAGGUAUUAGCCAUAAAAUCAAAACCAAACCAAACCACAUGUUUCUACUCUGUGGCUUUAUUUUAAGUAAAAUUCAGAAACACAAGCAUAAAUAUCACAUUGUUCCUCUUAUGUGAGAAAUGCAAAGUAUAAAGACAAAAUGAAAGAUAGACAAUAAGAAGUUGGGAGAUUGAUCUUUCUCAAAGGGGAAGGGAAUCAUGAGAUGGAAAAGGAAGGGAAAGGAAAAGAGUGAAUAAAAUGAAUUAAGAUAUGUUUUAUACAUGGACCAACUCCACAUAAGGAGCAUAAAUAUUAUGUACCAAUAAAGAAAAUGAUCUGAAAAAAAUAGGAAUAAAUAAAUAAGAAAUAAAGGAAAUGAUAUGGUGUAACCAAAUUACAAUACUCAAAAUUCUGGCUUUUUUGGAGUGACUGGGUAGGAACAUUAGAUCAGAGGCAAUUUGAUAUAUUGUAUGAGUUGUAUGUUUAAAAAGUUGUACAGUGACCACAGAGUGGACAGUGAGGACCUAAGCCACGUGAAUCAGGGCUCUCUCCAGCCUGCACAUGUGCCCAGCCCCCCAGAAACCAGCUCAGCCCGGUGGGCGCAUGCAGCAUACCCCCCUCAUCAGUACCUGGUUCCACACUACAGAGGCACAGGGGGUCAUAAAGGCCAUUGUCCUGAGCUCCAGAAAAUAGAGCAGAAGUGAACAACAGAAAGAGGGCUUCUCUCAGGCUCCUUGAUGAAAAUUGAAGCCCACUGGAAAAGUGAAGAUAAUCUCUGCAAUAAAGGCACACUAGGCCACUGUAUUUGGACAAGGGAGACUCCAGGAAAUCAAGAAAACUGCCAGUAUCACACAGCUCAGUGAUGGAACAAAUGUGAUUUGAAUGAGAUAUUCCAAAGGCUAUCAAAGUACGUCAUGGCUUUAACACAGCCUCCUGAAGAAUAGUUUUAAGAUUCUCUUCUUUCCAUUGUUGCAGAAGUGGAAGUAGCUCAAUGUAAUUAAGAACAGAGCAAUUCUUAAAAAAUUCAGUCUAGAGGUUUUAAUAAUUUCCACAUAUGGCCCCUCUACCUUUCAGUGUCUUCCAAACAUAAGGCUUCUAUUGUUUAUGGUUCAUUAUUAUCAGGAAUCAAAGUUGAAAUAUUGGAGAACAAGGGAGGGAAAUUACAGAUAGCUCAAAGGCAAUGUAGAAUGAAAGGUAGGGAAAAGACAAAUCCCAUGACAUGGGAGACCAAAACAUGCAGAAUGUAAUUGAUGGCACCAUUUAGGCAUCAGAAGGUUUCAAACAACACUGGAGCAUUCUGUGUUACUACAACACUAAUGGCAAUGCUUAAGUGAGUAAUGUACAGAUGCCAUUAUGUUUUCUUCUCAGUUGACUAGUGCAGGUAUUUUCUCAUCCAAGUACUAAUACUGCAUAACCCUGAUUAGCUUCUGAAAUCAGAUAAGGUAAGACAAGAUGCUUUCCAGUUGUUUUGGUCAUUGACUAGUGCAGGUAUUUUAAGUUUUAUUAGUAUGGAAAAUUAAAUUUAGUGUAGACACUGUUACAUAAUGCUAUAUCACUCACAAUUAGUAUUCUAAUAAUUUACAGAGAAUUUCUACAUCCAUUAUAACCCUUUUGAUUACCCAUUUCCAUUGCCAAAAAUGAGAAUAUUCCACUUCAGGGCUGAGAACUGGGCUAUGGUAACUCAACUCAGUACUUUGGCCAAGGACACACAGACA